RNAcentral lists this ribosomal RNA (770 nucleotides) under uncultured bacterium. RNAcentral's name for it is "bacterial SSU rRNA". It matches the Rfam family "Bacterial small subunit ribosomal RNA", at positions 735 to 1504 of the family's 1533-position model. The record is from RNAcentral.
UAAUACUGACACUGAGGCUCGAAAGCGUGGGUAGCGAACAGGAUUAGAUACCCUGGUAGUCCACGCCGUAAACGAUGUCUACUAGUCGUUGGGUCCCUUGAGGACUUAGUGACGCAGCUAACGCAAUAAGUAGACCGCCUGGGGAGUACGGCCGCAAGGUUAAAACUCAAAUGAAUUGACGGGGGCCCGCACAAGCGGUGGAGCAUGUGGUUUAAUUCGAUGCAACGCGAAGAACCUUACCUGGUCUUGACAUAUCUAGAAUCCUGCAGAGAUGCGGGAGUGCCUUCGGGAAUUAGAAUACAGGUGCUGCAUGGCUGUCGUCAGCUCGUGUCGUGAGAUGUUGGGUUAAGUCCCGCAACGAGCGCAACCCUUGUCCUUAGUUACCAGCGGGUUAAGCCGGGAACUCUAAGGAUACUGCCAGUGACAAACUGGAGGAAGGCGGGGACGACGUCAAGUCAUCAUGGCCCUUACGACCAGGGCUACACACGUGCUACAAUGGUAGGUACAGAGGGCAGCUACACAGCGAUGUGAUGCGAAUCUCAAAAAGCCUAUCGUAGUCCAGAUUGGAGUCUGCAACUCGACUCCAUGAAGUAGGAAUCGCUAGUAAUCGCGGAUCAGAAUGCCGCGGUGAAUACGUUCCCGGGCCUUGUACACACCGCCCGUCACACCAUGGGAGUUGAUUGCACCAGAAGUGGAUAGCUUAACCUUCGGGGGAGCGUUCACCACGGUGUGGUUGAUGACUGGGGUGAAGUCGUAACAAGGUAACCGUA